GUGAACGCUGGCGGUAGGCCUCACAUAUGCAAGUCGAACGGCAGCACAGUAAGAGCUUGCUCUUACGGGUGGCGAGUGGCGGACGGGUGAGGAAUACAUCGGAAUCUACUUUUUCGUGGGGGAUAACGUAGGGAAACUUACGCUAAUACCGCAUACGACCUACGGGUGAAAGCAGGGGAUCUUCGGACCUUGCGCGAUUGAAUGAGCCGAUGUCGGAUUAGCUAGUUGGCGGGGUAAAGGCCCACCAAGGCGACGAUCCGUAGCUGGUCUGAGAGGAUGAUCAGCCACACUGGAACUGAGACACGGUCCAGACUCCUACGGGAGGCAGCAGUGGGGAAUAUUGGACAAUGGGCGCAAGCCUGAUCCAGCCAUACCGCGUGGGUGAAGAAGGCCUUCGGGUUGUAAAGCCCUUUUGUUGGGAAAGAAAAGCAGCAGGUUAAUACCCCGCUGUUCUGACGGUACCCAAAGAAUAAGCACCGGCUAACUUCGUG
Molecule: ribosomal RNA, 491 nt
Filed under: uncultured bacterium
Lineage: Bacteria
Description: partial 16S ribosomal RNA
Rfam family: Bacterial small subunit ribosomal RNA
Source: RNAcentral